AUCCGUCAUCACUGUCAUCAAUCCAAUAUACAGGCAAAAAUGAAAUCUGAAAACGUGGAAUAAAAAUCAUCAAGAUUCUAUUUUUAUUUUAUCUUUUAUUGAGUAGUCGCUUGCUAGUAUUUCAAGAUGGAUUUUAUUGUAGAUACAGUGGGAAACGAUGAGCUCCAGUUGGCUACAGAGCUGAAUGAUGAAGAACAAAAGCCCAUAUUUGUAGACAAAGCAGCUAGAUUUGAAAGCAUCCUAGCCCUAUGUCAGCGCAAGAAAGAAGAAAUGGAUGCCUUAAUCUUGAAAGAAGACGAAGUUCAAAGGAAGCUAUGCCCUAAAACUGAUGCCAUGUUUGAAGCUUUCUUUGAAGAAAUGAACUGGACAAGUGCUGUAGUUAAGAAGUUUAAGAAGAAACCGAAACUAUUCCAUUUCGAACAGCUAGAUAUAGAUACAGGUAAACUCAAGUCCCAACUGAGUGUGGUGGACAUAGAAAAGGAGAUGAAGAAGUCAGUUCUCCAGCCGGGUAUGGAGCAGCUGCACCGUCUCCCGAAAUAUGCUGUGAGCGAUAAGAAGUUGAGGAUCAUGAGAAAGAAGGAAAGAGCCAAGACCAAAGGCCCUGGCUGGUUCAACCUCCCAGCUCCCGAAGUAACGAAAGAGUUGAAGAAUGACCUGCAGAUCCUCAAGAUGCGGUCUGUACUGGACCCCAAGCACUUCUACAAGAAGAAUGAUAUGGAAUCUCUGCCCAAGUACUUCCAGGUUGGUAAAGUUAUGGAUUCAUCUCUAGACCACGUAAACGAGCGGCUAACACGUAAACAACGAAAACGCACCAUGGUAGACGAGCUGCUCGCCGACUCGGAGUUCCAGAAAUACAACAAGAAGAAAUAUAAAGAGAUCAUUGCAGAGAAACGGAACGCACAGUACAGGACGUUCAUGAAGGAUAAGAGACAGAAGAAUAAAGCGGAGCUUAAGAAUAAAGUUAAAGGGAAGAAGAGUAAGAAUUGAGAAGUAAAUGUUUUCAAUAAUACCCUCUGUAAUGGCAUAGCUAUUUAAUAAUACGUUCUCCAAAAAUGUCUAUUUGAUUUACUUGAUAUUGGUUUAUAAAGUCACACCAUGGCACAAUUUGCAGUCUUCACGCUUCGUCUAUCCCUUUUUUAUGCUAUCUUUUUGAGCGAAAUGGAGUUCCUUCUUAAUUUGGGCCUUGUCAAAAUAUAUCCUACUUAAGCUUUCUUUUGGAGGCGUGUACUAUCUCCAACUGCACCAAUUUUCUUCCAUUAUCCGGAAAGGAUCUUCUAUGCAACAUUAUUUGACUCCAUUUGCCAAAAAAAUAAGAAAGGAAUAAGAGGUCAAGAAGAUAUGAUUGACAGUAGGCCAAACGCAAACGAAAUGAGACAUUUAAAGGCUCGUGAAUCUUCGAACUGAAAAGUUAAGGAUACCAUCUAUUACAUCUAUUAUUUCAAUUGGGCUGCUUUGUAAGCCAUAUCCCGGGUGCGUCAUCAACCACUGGUUUCCAGCGGGCACAAUUGAAAUUGUACGCUAGACAGAAAUCGGAACAAUUAUAAGCUGGAGAAGAUAAAAAAUUGAGAAUAGGUCUGAUAUAAGGAAAAACUAUGUAAUCGUUUUUGUAACAACAAGUUAUCGGUGAGUUGAAUAAGAUUUACCGACAUCAUUUCACGAGACAUCGGAGCGUGCUGUUACCAUAGAUGACGAUUUCGGUACUGUUUUAUUGAACUCAUGGGAAGGUUUUAAAAAAAUGGUAACUGAUACACAUGCAACGAGGAUGUAUUUAAGGAAGGACAACAGAAUAAGAAUCACAAAAAGAAUACCUUAUCAUCGUAAUCAUCGGUGAUUUGAAUAAGAUUUGACUGAAAUCACGAUAGUCUAUAUCAAACAAUAAAUAGAGACCACCUAUAAUGAUGGUGAUUUCAGUUUUAACUGAUUUGAAUCACGGAAAGGAAUUAUCGCUCCGAGGACAGAGCAAGACAUCUUAUGUUACCGGUGAAUUGAAUAAGAUGCUAUUGAAAUCAAUAAUACACCACUCUACAAAGGCACCGUGAACCAAAACAAUGAUGAUUUCACAGUCAUCUUAUUUGAAACAUGGAAAGGACUAACAUACUUGUAUGGACAUGCUUUAACGCGUUAAGAACUUCCUAAAGCAACUGAAUAAGUUUUUAUUGAGGCUCCUUUACGAGACAGAUAUACAGCCACUAAGUAAAAAUAUAGAAAUUUAGAACCGGAUGAACCUCGAAAUAGCGCUAGUUUUAUGCAUGAAGCCUGCGUAAAAAGAGGACCUUUUUGGUUUGGUUUGAUAUAAAACAUGGAAAGGAUAUAAAUAUAGUAAAUGCCACGAAGAACUUU
This is an RNA transcript of Cydia pomonella (codling moth), 2340 nucleotides long. It is a transcript of the gene named deoxynucleotidyltransferase terminal-interacting protein 2, with no coding region annotated. NCBI's taxonomy places the organism in Eukaryota, Metazoa, Arthropoda, Insecta, Lepidoptera, Tortricidae. The record is from RefSeq and is a predicted model, not a curated record. The transcript has 9 exons.